This 492-nucleotide ribosomal RNA is filed under the name uncultured bacterium. RNAcentral describes it as "partial 16S ribosomal RNA". It matches the Rfam family "Bacterial small subunit ribosomal RNA", at positions 30 to 507 of the family's 1533-position model. The record is from RNAcentral.
AUUGAACGCUGGCGGCAUGCCUAACACAUGCCAGUCGAACGGCAGCACAGUAGCAGCUUGCUGUUACGGAGUGCCAGUCGCGGGAGGGUUAGGUCUACACCUGUAUCUACUUUUUCGUUGGGGCUGACGUAGGGGGACUUACACUACUACCGCAUACCGCCUGCGAGUGAGAGCCGGGGAUCUUCGGACCUUUCGCGAUUGACUGUGCCGAUGUCGGAUUAGCUAGUUGGAGGGGUAAAGGCCCACCAAGGCGACGAUCAGUAGCUGGUCUGAGAGGACGACCAGCCACACUGGAACUGAGACACGGCCCAGACUCCUACGGGAGGCAGCAGUGGGGAAUAUUGGACAAUGGGCGCAAGCCUGAUCCAGCAAUGCCGCGUGUGUGAAGAAGGCCUUCGGGUUGUAAAGCCCUUUUGUUGGGAAAGAAAAGCAUCAGGCUAAUACAGUCGGGUGAUGACGGUACCGAAAGAAUAAGCACCGGCUAACUACGUG